This is a long non-coding RNA of Hemicordylus capensis (graceful crag lizard), 2642 nucleotides long. RefSeq lists it as uncharacterized. The record is from RefSeq and is a predicted model, not a curated record. Lineage: Eukaryota; Metazoa; Chordata; Lepidosauria; Squamata; Cordylidae. The transcript has 2 exons.
AAUGCAUCCAGCAAAUAAUUGUGUAGCAGUAAUCCCUAGGAAAUUAUUGGGUCGCCCUGCUUAUCACUCACGAAGAAUGGAGGACAGUGUUUCUCGUUGGGUUCUCAAGCCAUGGGAGGGACUGCCGAUUUCUCGUAUUGGUCAGAAAGGGUGGACUGAGCCCGCCCCCCCUUGGCCUCAACGCCGACGAAACAGAUAACGGGAAGGGGUUCAAGUUGCUCCUAACCUAGCAGACUACGGAGGCUCGCUCCUUCAGAACUGCAGCAAAUGCCUUGAUGGCCCCAGGGAAAUGGGACAAGUGGCCAAGCAUAUAUUUUCUUGUGUGGUUUCUGUACAACUUCCAUUUCUUUAUGUAUCCCUGGCAGAAUACCACAGGAGCGUGUGUCUAUGACUUUCUGUGGUGCAAGUCAACCCACAAACAUAGCAAUAGAUUUUUGUCCCAUAAGAAGUACUCUGCUUUUACAGGGAUUUUAAAAGGACUUAUCACAUCUUGGAAUCCCCCCCCCCCAUGUUAUGUUGCAGUAAUAACCAAGACAUUUAAGGCCUCAUGAAUUCUUUGCUGUUUCAGUAGAUUUCAAUUCUCAGUGAAGAUCUGCUUCCUGCUGAGGCAGUUGUAAGGGAAAGGGGGAAGCAAAAACAUUCCUUGGUUUCUGAGAUGCAAACCUUAUAAACAACAACUUAUCACAAGUUCCUAAGGAGUUGUUCCUGCAUGUAGAUUUUAUCACGGAAGCUGCUGGAAUUUCACUCAUGUUGCCUUUUAUUAAAAGGAAUUGGACCAUAAUGUGCCAUGAAGUUAGUACUCAAUCUGAACCUUAUCAAUUUUUAACUUCAUUUCACAAGAUGAGAGAGAGCACAACAUUCAUAUAGCAGUUUUUAGAUAAAUGGAAAAAUGAAAACUCUUGCCCCACAUCUUUUGAGUUCAGUCAUGGGAAGACAGAUUAUUUGAGGGUCCUGGGAAAAGGAAGUCCAUCAAGGAUAUUUGGUUGCAGGGAGAGAAAGAUCAAAUAUUCCCUGGCCAAAAAUGCAUAAUGCAGUCACAGUUCCCCCACCCAGCAGUGCAGUUUUAGCUUCUUCAGCAAAGUUGAGUGGUCCUUAUGGCCCUACAGAUAUUCUGCUUUUCUGAGAAUAUUGAGCCCCACAUGGCAUAAUCUUGUAUAACCCUUGUUAGAAUGCAUAUUUUGAGGUUUUAUCCAUUUCAAGAAAUACUCUAGAGAUAAUUUGAUAAGAUGAAAGCAAGGCCUCCUGGUAGAAUAAAUAAUAUUAAAAGGCAGUUUACUGUAAUAUUUACCAAAACAAUCUAAAGGCAAUAAAGCAGGGGAAUAGGGAAUUUGCCAGCGGCCACAGGAUGAGUUCAGCUAGCAGUCCCCUUCCCAUGUGGUUGUUUGUGCAUGUGUGCUAGCACACACCAGCCCUACCCCCUGCAUAUAAUGUCCUAUGCAGGGGGCGUGGUCACCACUGGCAAGACAGGUGAGCUUCCCAUGUGCCUAUUGCACUGGGCACUUCAUCGCCCACUGUUGGAUUUGGGAAAAUGUUUUUUCACUGCCUGGCCAAACUCAAUGGCGCAUGAAUGAAGCACCCACUGCAGUGCGCCCGACAUGGGGAUGGAUGAGCAACUCUGGCAGCCCCUUGAAGGUAUGGGUGAAGUGCUCGGGGCCACGGUGGCUGGAGGACAUCCUCCUGUGCUCAGUGAUGGCCAUGCGCCUGGCAAUAAAAGCUUUCCCCACUGGAACACCAAGCUGUGUUAGUAAGGCAAGCCGUCUCCAGAGAAAAAUUAGCUGGCUGGAAUUCCAAGUGGUGGGGGAUAUCUCAAGCACUGGCAAGAAAGUUCCUUCUGAUCUUAAUGCCGAGGAAUAUGCAAAGCAACCAGUCACUUCCAAAGGUAACAAAGUUGCAGAACAUUCCAGAACAAAUGAAACCCAAUUUAUAUUUAUUUUUAUUUGUUAAAUUUAGAUUGUUCAUUAAAACAAUCCCAAGCGGUUGCAUUAUGCAUAUAUUGCAUUAUGCUUACAGGAGGAGUGAAGCCUCUGGCAUCAGUUGUCCUGAGUUGGUGUGGUGAAAUGUUCACUUCCAUGUUAUUACACCAACUCCAGCCAAUUGACAGUUCUGUGUCAGGUUCUACUUCUGGGAGUGAAGAGGAAAGUUGUCAGAUAGCUGGGAUUAAAACCUCACAGAUGGGCAGGCUGGAGAGAGGGGAGCAUCACCAGGAUAUAAGGAAGCUAAGAAGCAGGGACAAGGAAGCUGAAGUGCAGAAAGAAUAAGAAUCUGAAGAAAUGGUACAUGGUCUGAAAAAAAGAAGGGGAGGGGGGAAUUGAGAUAAAGGGCAAAUCAAAUAAUGAUUUACUUUGAAGAAACUUCACAGCAACUAAAGAUAAUAAGCUAUAUACUAUGGAGACAGGUUUGCUAGAGAGGCUGGUCAAGAGCCAGGGUGGCUAACAGAAAUGUCCCUAUCCAACCCAAGCAUGGAGUCCCUUCAGUGGCUGUUGCUGGUGUUUACUGUGCAUUUCUUUUUAGAUUGUGAGCCCUUUUGGGACAGGGAAACAUCUUAUUUAGUUGUGUAUUUUUCUGUGUAAAUUCCUUUGAGAACAUUUGUUGAAGAGUGGUAUAUAAAUAUUCAUAGUAGAAUAAAUGUUUGCUAGAGCCCA